ACAUGUUUUAUUUAGUGUAAUGAAAGAAUAAUACAACCAAUUUAUUCACCUAGGAGACAUUAAUAUUAUUAAUUUUUAUAAAUAGUAUUUAACUUUUAUACCUUAUAAAGUGAUAAACUCUUACUCUAUCUAUCACUAAAAAAAGAGAAAAAAAUAUGGCUACAAUUCUCAAAUUUAUGUACGUCGUAUUUAUAAUUUUGUUCUUAUUUUCUGUUGCAUCUAAAGUUGAUGGUCGGAAAUGUGUUAAAGACUCUGAUUGUCCAAAGAACGAAUCCUUCGAUGGAAAGGCUCCACUUGAGGUGAAGUGUAUUAAUGGUUUUUGUAAAUCUCGACUACCACCACGUGUAAUUGAGUAAAAAAUCAAAGGAUCAUAGAGAGACUUUGCAUGAAUGAAUAAAGUAUCUUAUCUACACAAGAUCUAUGUAAUAAUGUAUUUUAAGACAAUACAAAUAUAAACAUAAUAUAGCAAACAAUAUUAUUAAUA
Vicia villosa (hairy vetch) is the source of this 484-nucleotide long non-coding RNA. RefSeq lists it as uncharacterized. The record is from RefSeq and is a predicted model, not a curated record. Lineage: Eukaryota; Viridiplantae; Streptophyta; Magnoliopsida; Fabales; Fabaceae. The transcript has 2 exons.